Molecule: long non-coding RNA, 215 nt
Filed under: Volvox carteri
Lineage: Eukaryota; Viridiplantae; Chlorophyta; Chlorophyceae; Chlamydomonadales; Volvocaceae
Description: long non-coding RNA (VCAR_LNC002661)
Source: RNAcentral
AAUGUCGCAACACGCGCACACCACAAUCUCUCCAUAGAGGUGUCUCUUGCACGCUUGCGUACGCCAGGAAGCGGCGCGCACUUGGACGCUUUGACAGGAACCCCGAUUGUACGGGCGAUUGCUGUUGCAGAGCCCAAGCAAACACAGCCCAGUUAACCCCUACUCAAGCACCGAUCGAAUAGAGUUCUUCACCCUCGUUCGUUUUGCAUCACAUU